RNAcentral lists this long non-coding RNA (600 nucleotides) under Phoenix dactylifera (date palm). Its description in RNAcentral is "long non-coding RNA (PDAC_LNC001628)". The record is from RNAcentral. Lineage: Eukaryota; Viridiplantae; Streptophyta; Magnoliopsida; Arecales; Arecaceae.
CAGCAAAGCUCUGUCUGGAGGGAUGUUGUUUGCACGGUCAGCUUAUUUGUUUCAAUGAAAUGAGGGUUAGGUGCGAGGCGUUUCAUCAGCGAUAUAAUAUUGCUUCAUUUUGUAGUAGGGGAAGCUGAUUGUUUCUGUUCCUUCAGAAUAAUUUAAACAAUAUAUCACAUUUGAAGAUAUAUGUUCUGAUGUUAGGUUGUUGGAUAUAAGGAAAAUGUUAAAACAAUUCACAGCCAUCUCAGACAUUAGAAGAAGCAGGGUUGAGCCGCCUGAGGGAUUGCAGUAAGGUGUGAAGGGCCCCAUGGCUGGGUUGCAGGAUUGGCAGUGAAUCAGAUAGCCAAAACAUGGUUUCUUCAGGGUAUUUUUGAGGGUUGUAGUUGUGCAUUAAUUUACAUCGCAGUAAAGUGAGUGCGCAUAAAAGACUUCAUGAGAGUUGCACUGGGCUCUUGGCUCAGGUUGAAGUUUCCAAGGAUGUCUAGCUUGGAGAUUACGGGUUGUUAAUGUACUUUUAUUUCCUUCUGUUAUUGUUGUCACUGUAUCCGGAACAAAGGUGUGGAAUUCUAUUAUGGGAGGAGGAUUCUGGGAAUUGAGGGGUUAUNN